RNAcentral lists this transfer RNA (73 nucleotides) under halophilic archaeon J07HX5. RNAcentral describes it as "tRNA-Gln". It matches the Rfam family "tRNA". From Rfam's summary of the family: Transfer RNA (tRNA) molecules are approximately 80 nucleotides in length. Lineage: Archaea; Methanobacteriati; Methanobacteriota; Halobacteria; Halobacteriales. The record is from RNAcentral.
AGUCCCGUAGUGUAGUGGCCAAUCACUGAGCCUUCUGGGGGCUCAAACGGAGGUUCGAAUCCUCCCGGGACUA